RNAcentral lists this ribosomal RNA (470 nucleotides) under uncultured bacterium. RNAcentral describes it as "bacterial SSU rRNA". It matches the Rfam family "Bacterial small subunit ribosomal RNA", at positions 28 to 526 of the family's 1533-position model. The record is from RNAcentral.
AACGAACGCUGGCGGCGCGCUUAACACAUGCAAGUCGAACGCACUUCCUUCGGGGGGUGAGUGGCGCACGGGUGAGUAACGCGUGGGAACCUACCUUGGGGUUCGGGACAACGGCGGGAAACUGCCGCUAAGACCGGAUACGGCCCUGGCCGGGGACGGCUGGGGCGAAAGACUUGUCGCCCGAAGAUGGGCCCGCGUCCGAUUAGCUGGUUGGUGGGGUAACGGCCCACCAAGGCUGUGAUCGGUAGCCGGUCUGAGAGGAUGAUCGGCCACACUGGGACUGAGACACGGCCCAGACUCCUACGGGAGGCAGCAGUGGGGAAUCUUGGACAAUGGGGGCAACCCUGAUCCAGCGACGCCGCGUGGGUGAUGAAGGCCUUCGGGUUGUAAAGCCCUUUUCCCGGGGACGAUGAUGACGGUACCCGGGGAAUAAGCACCGGCUAACUCCGUGCCAGCCGCCGCAGUAAAAC